This 71-nucleotide transfer RNA is filed under the name Bos indicus (zebu cattle). It matches the Rfam family "tRNA". From Rfam's summary of the family: Transfer RNA (tRNA) molecules are approximately 80 nucleotides in length. Their secondary structure includes four short double-helical elements and three loops (D, anti-codon, and T loops). Further hydrogen bonds mediate the characteristic L-shaped molecular structure. tRNAs have two regions of fundamental functional importance: the anti-codon, which is responsible for specific mRNA codon recognition, and the 3' end, to which the tRNAs corresponding amino acid is attached (by aminoacyl-tRNA synthetases). tRNAs cope with the degeneracy of the genetic code in two manners: having more than one tRNA (with a specific anti-codon) for a particular amino acid; and 'wobble' base-pairing, i.e. permitting non-standard base-pairing at the 3rd anti-codon position. Lineage: Eukaryota; Metazoa; Chordata; Mammalia; Artiodactyla; Bovidae. The record is from Rfam by way of RNAcentral. RNAcentral also lists the same sequence under 2 other names.
UCCCAGGUGGCUCAAUGGUAAAGUAUCUGCCUGCAGUGCAGGAGACACGGGUUCAAUCCCUGGGUUGGGAA